RNAcentral lists this ribosomal RNA (254 nucleotides) under uncultured bacterium. RNAcentral describes it as "partial 16S ribosomal RNA". It matches the Rfam family "Bacterial small subunit ribosomal RNA", at positions 524 to 776 of the family's 1533-position model. The record is from RNAcentral.
UACGGGGGGAGCAAGCGUUGUUCGGAUUUACUGGGCGUAAAGGGCGCGUAGGCGGCCACCGCAAGUCGUGUGUGAAAUCUCUGGGCUUAACCCAGAAAGGUCAACCGAUACUGCGGGGCUAGAGUGCAGAAGGGGCAACUGGAAUUCUCGGUGUAGCGGUGAAAUGCGUAGAUAUCGAGAGGAACACCUGCGGCGAAGGCGGGGUGCUGGGCUGACACUGACGCUGAAGCGCGAAAGCUAGGGGAGCGAACGGG